RNAcentral lists this transfer RNA (76 nucleotides) under Cryomorphaceae bacterium. RNAcentral describes it as "tRNA-Gly". It matches the Rfam family "tRNA". Rfam says of the family: Transfer RNA (tRNA) molecules are approximately 80 nucleotides in length. RNAcentral also lists the same sequence under 1 other name. The record is from RNAcentral. Lineage: Bacteria; Pseudomonadati; Bacteroidota; Flavobacteriia; Flavobacteriales; Cryomorphaceae.
GCGGAAGUAGCUCAGCUGGUAGAGCGUCAGCCUUCCAAGCUGAAUGUCGCCGGUUCGAACCCGGUCUUCCGCUCAA